This 862-nucleotide ribosomal RNA is filed under the name delta proteobacterium SCGC AAA240-G03. Its description in RNAcentral is "SSU rRNA". It matches the Rfam family "Bacterial small subunit ribosomal RNA", at positions 28 to 907 of the family's 1533-position model. Lineage: Bacteria; Deltaproteobacteria. The record is from RNAcentral.
GACGACGCUGGCGGCUGCCUAGCACAUGCAAGUCGAACGAGAAAGUUCCUUCGGGAGCAAUUAAAGUGGCGCACGGGUGAGUAACGCGUAGACAAUCUGCCCUUCAGUCUGGGAUAACUUUUCGAAAGGAGAGCUAAUACCGGAUAACAAUGCAUGACACAAGUUGUAUAUUUGAAAGCUUUAUGUGCUGAAGGAGGGGUCUGCGUCCCAUUAGCUAGUUGGUAAGGUAAAGGCUUACCAAGGCAACGAUGGGUAGCGGGUUUGAGAGGACGAUCCGCCACACUGGAACUGAGACACGGUCCAGACUCCUACGGGAGGCAGCAGUGGGGAAUAUUGCACAAUGGAGGAAACUCUGAUGCAGCAAUGUCGCGUGAGUGAAGAAGGCCCUUGGGUCGUAAAGCUCUUUUAUGGGGGAAGAUGAUGACGGUACCCCAAGAAUAAGCACCGGCUAACUAUGUGCCAGCAGCCGCGGUAAUACAUAGGGUGCGAGCGUUGUUCGGAAUUACUGGGCGUAAAGGGCGCGCAGGCGGAAUAGUAAGUCGGAGGUGAAAGCCCGGGGCUCAACCCCGGAGGGUCUUUCGAAACUACUAAUCUAGAGAGGGUCAGGGGCCGGCAGAAUUCCUGGUGUAGAGGUGAAAUUCGUAGAUAUCAGGAGGAAUACCGGUGGCGAAGGCGGCCGGCUGGGGCCACUCUGACGCUGAGGCGCGAAAGCGUGGGGAGCAAACAGGAUUAGAUACCCUGGUAGUCCACGCCGUAAACGAUGAGCACUGGACGUCCGGAGGGUUCGACCCUUCUGGGUGUCUCAGCUAACGCAUUAAGUGCUCCGCCUGGGGAGUACGGUCGCAAGACUACAAUUGAUACG